UUACUCAGUAGCACAGCUGAAACCCCGAGUUUCUCACCUAGAGAUGACGGGCUUUCUUAGUAGUAUGUCCUUCCUACGUGCUUAUUGCAGCUGAAACAGAUUUUCAAGGCCACUCUGAUAUCUCAGUCUAUCAACGAAUGAUCUACAGAUAUCUGUGGAUUAGAUCUAGAACCGCAAGUGCGUGGGAGGUAGUGCCGUACGGCCACGCCCCAGGAGUCAUGGCAACACUGGAGGAAAGACGUGCGGAUUCAGCUGGAGUCGCACCUGGAAAGGGGAUCAGAAGCUCAGGAAAGGAAGCUCAUCUAAGACACUGUGCUAUCUUCUGCUGUUAAGAAUGAGAAUGUCUGGGCCGGAAGCAGAGAUCGUCAGGCUUUAGGAGGAGGCUGCCAAACAGAAGAAAAGGCGAAGAACCACAGGAGCAAAGGCCGGACACGCCGUGCCAGGAAACAUCAGAUCUGCUGGAAGCCAGAUGUUGCAGAUGAAAACAGGAUGCCAGGCAGAUAGAA
Molecule: long non-coding RNA, 506 nt
Organism: Arvicola amphibius (Eurasian water vole)
Lineage: Eukaryota; Metazoa; Chordata; Mammalia; Rodentia; Cricetidae
Exons: 3
Source: RefSeq, a predicted model, not a curated record